GGGUUGUGAGGUUAAGCGACUAAGCGUACACGGUGGAUGCCCUGGCAGUCAGAGGCGAUGAAGGACGUGCUAAUCUGCGAUAAGCGUCGGUAAGGUGAUAUGAACCGUUAUAACCGGCGAUUUCCGAAUGGGGAAACCCAGUGUGUUUCGACACACUAUCAUUAACUGAAUCCAUAGGUUAAUGAGGCGAACCGGGGGAACUGAAACAUCUAAGUACCCCGAGGAAAAGAAAUCAACCGAGAUUCCCCCAGUAGCGGCGAGCGAACGGGGAGCAGCCCAGAGCCUGAAUCAGUGUGUGUGUUAGUGGAAGCGUCUGGAAAGGCGCGCGAUACAGGGUGACAGCCCCGUACACAAAAAUGCACAUACUGUGAGCUCGAUGAGUAGGGCGGGACACGUGGUAUCCUGUCUGAAUAUGGGGGGACCAUCCUCCAAGGCUAAAUACUCCUGACUGACCGAUAGUGAACCAGUACCGUGAGGGAAAGGCGAAAAGAACCCCGGCGAGGGGAGUGAAAAAGAACCUGAAACCGUGUACGUACAAGCAGUGGGAGCACGCUUAGGCGUGUGACUGCGUACCUUUUGUAUAAUGGGUCAGCGACUUAUAUUCUGUAGCAAGGUUAACCGAAUAGGGGAGCCGAAGGGAAACCGAGUCUUAACUGGGCGUUAAGUUGCAGGGUAUAGACCCGAAACCCGGUGAUCUAGCCAUGGGCAGGUUGAAGGUUGGGUAACACUAACUGGAGGACCGAACCGACUAAUGUUGAAAAAUUAGCGGAUGACUUGUGGCUGGGGGUGAAAGGCCAAUCAAACCGGGAGAUAGCUGGUUCUCCCCGAAAGCUAUUUAGGUAGCGCCUCGUGAAUUCAUCUCCGGGGGUAGAGCACUGUUUCGGCAAGGGGGUCAUCCCGACUUACCAACCCGAUGCAAACUGCGAAUACCGGAGAAUGUUAUCACGGGAGACACACGGCGGGUGCUAACGUCCGUCGUGAAGAGGGAAACAACCCAGACCGCCAGCUAAGGUCCCAAAGUCAUGGUUAAGUGGGAAACGAUGUGGGAAGGCCCAGACAGCCAGGAUGUUGGCUUAGAAGCAGCCAUCAUUUAAAGAAAGCGUAAUAGCUCACUGGUCGAGUCGGCCUGCGCGGAAGAUGUAACGGGGCUAAACCAUGCACCGAAGCUGCGGCAGCGACGCUUAUGCGUUGUUGGGUAGGGGAGCGUUCUGUAAGCCUGUGAAGGUGUGCUGUGAGGCAUGCUGGAGGUAUCAGAAGUGCGAAUGCUGACAUAAGUAACGAUAAAGCGGGUGAAAAGCCCGCUCGCCGGAAGACCAAGGGUUCCUGUCCAACGUUAAUCGGGGCAGGGUGAGUCGACCCCUAAGGCGAGGCCGAAAGGCGUAGUCGAUGGGAAACAGGUUAAUAUUCCUGUACUUGGUGUUACUGCGAAGGGGGGACGGAGAAGGCUAUGUUGGCCGGGCGACGGUUGUCCCGGUUUAAGCGUGUAGGCUGGUUUUCCAGGCAAAUCCGGAAAAUCAAGGCUGAGGCGUGAUGACGAGGCACUACGGUGCUGAAGCAACAAAUGCCCUGCUUCCAGGAAAAGCCUCUAAGCAUCAGGUAACAUCAAAUCGUACCCCAAACCGACACAGGUGGUCAGGUAGAGAAUACCAAGGCGCUUGAGAGAACUCGGGUGAAGGAACUAGGCAAAAUGGUGCCGUAACUUCGGGAGAAGGCACGCUGAUAUGUAGGUGAAGUCCCUCGCGGAUGGAGCUGAAAUCAGUCGAAGAUACCAGCUGGCUGCAACUGUUUAUUAAAAACACAGCACUGUGCAAACACGAAAGUGGACGUAUACGGUGUGACGCCUGCCCGGUGCCGGAAGGUUAAUUGAUGGGGUCAGCGCAAGCGAAGCUCUUGAUCGAAGCCCCGGUAAACGGCGGCCGUAACUAUAACGGUCCUAAGGUAGCGAAAUUCCUUGUCGGGUAAGUUCCGACCUGCACGAAUGGCGUAAUGAUGGCCAGGCUGUCUCCACCCGAGACUCAGUGAAAUUGAACUCGCUGUGAAGAUGCAGUGUACCCGCGGCAAGACGGAAAGACCCCGUGAACCUUUACUAUAGCUUGACACUGAACAUUGAGCCUUGAUGUGUAGGAUAGGUGGGAGGCUUAGAAGUGUGGACGCCAGUCUGCAUGGAGCCGACCUUGAAAUACCACCCUUUAAUGUUUGAUGUUCUAACGUUGACCCGUAAUCCGGGUUGCGGACAGUGUCUGGUGGGUAGUUUGACUGGGGCGGUCUCCUCCUAAAGAGUAACGGAGGAGCACGAAGGUUGGCUAAUCCUGGUCGGACAUCAGGAGGUUAGUGCAAUGGCAUAAGCCAGCUUGACUGCGAGCGUGACGGCGCGAGCAGGUGCGAAAGCAGGUCAUAGUGAUCCGGUGGUUCUGAAUGGAAGGGCCAUCGCUCAACGGAUAAAAGGUACUCCGGGGAUAACAGGCUGAUACCGCCCAAGAGUUCAUAUCGACGGCGGUGUUUGGCACCUCGAUGUCGGCUCAUCACAUCCUGGGGCUGAAGUAGGUCCCAAGGGUAUGGCUGUUCGCCAUUUAAAGUGGUACGCGAGCUGGGUUUAGAACGUCGUGAGACAGUUCGGUCCCUAUCUGCCGUGGGCGCUGGAGAACUGAGGGGGGCUGCUCCUAGUACGAGAGGACCGGAGUGGACGCAUCACUGGUGUUCGGGUUGUCAUGCCAAUGGCACUGCCCGGUAGCUAAAUGCGGAAGAGAUAAGUGCUGAAAGCAUCUAAGCACGAAACUUGCCCCGAGAUGAGUUCUCCCUGACUCCUUGAGAGUCCUGAAGGAACGUUGAAGACGACGACGUUGAUAGGCCGGGUGUGUAAGCGCAGCGAUGCGUUGAGCUAACCGGUACUAAUGAACCGUGAGG
This 2904-nucleotide ribosomal RNA is filed under the name Escherichia coli. Its description in RNAcentral is "partial 23S ribosomal RNA". It matches the Rfam family "Bacterial large subunit ribosomal RNA". Lineage: Bacteria; Pseudomonadati; Pseudomonadota; Gammaproteobacteria; Enterobacterales; Enterobacteriaceae. The record is from RNAcentral.